UUUUGAAAGGCAAAUCAUGUCAGAUAGACAUGGUUCCUCCACAAAAUUACUGUCUUUGGGAAAGAUGAGGUAAAAAUUCAGCCAGAUUCUCCUCUCACAUAAACUCCAGACCACGUGGAUGUCACAGCCAGGGGCUGCCUCAAACAUGCUGUCCGGUCAUGGUUUGUGUUAACGUCAGAACUCAGUACUACGGACCCUGGUUUUCUCAGGGGUAGCAAAGGAUGACUGAAACAGCACCAGAAGCUUACUCUUUCAUCUUCAGCCCUCUAUACGCUUCAAACACACCACGCACCAUCCCACAGGCUCAGGACUUCCGUGGAUCACCUGCCAUCUCAGCAAGAGAGCUCAGAAUCCCAGGUCAACAAGUAUGAGGCUGGAAAGGACUCUUCAAGACAAGCUUCUCACACACCUUGGGCUGUUGAUUCUGUCCAGUUAACCACUGUUGAGCCUGACCAUGUAAAUCUAACAGUGUAAGUUACGUCCAGG
Molecule: long non-coding RNA, 486 nt
Organism: Gallus gallus (chicken)
Lineage: Eukaryota; Metazoa; Chordata; Aves; Galliformes; Phasianidae
Source: Ensembl